AGUGAACGCUGGCGGUAGGCCUAACACAUGCAAGUCGAACGGCAGCACAGUAAGAGCUUGCUCUUACGGGUGGCGAGUGGCGGACGGGUGAGGAAUACAUCGGAAUCUACUUUUUCGUGGGGGAUAACGUAGGGAAACUUACGCUAAUACCGCAUACGACCUACGGGUGAAAGCCGGGGAUCUUUGGACCUUGCGCGAUUGAAUGAGCCGAUGUCGGAUUAGCUAGUUGGCGGGGUAAAGGCCCACCAAGGCGACGAUCCGUAGCUGGUCUGAGAGGAUGAUCAGCCACACUGGAACUGAGACACGGUCCAGACUCCUACGGGAGGCAGCAGUGGGGAAUAUUGGACAAUGGGCGCAAGCCUGAUCCAGCCAUACCGCGUGAGUGAAGAAGGCCUUCGGGUUGUAAAGCCCUUUUGUUGGGAAAGAAAAGCAGCAGGUUAAUACCCCGCGGUUCUGACGGUACCGAAAGAAUAAGCACCGGCUAACUUCGUG
RNAcentral lists this ribosomal RNA (492 nucleotides) under uncultured bacterium. RNAcentral's name for it is "partial 16S ribosomal RNA". It matches the Rfam family "Bacterial small subunit ribosomal RNA", at positions 29 to 507 of the family's 1533-position model. The record is from RNAcentral.